UGCAGCCAGGGUCUAGGUCACGCCAUCCAGCACAGGAUGCAGAGGACAUUCAGGUGUGCCUGGCUGGGCGCAAACACUGGUGCGACGGCCACUGCCCCUCUCUGUUCCGUGUUCUUCAUACCACAGGGGUGAGCCAUCCUGAACGACAAUCUGUUCCCAGUAACCAUCUUAUUGUGAAUACUCUGGAGGUCUACAUCUUUCAUUUACGUGCUUAAAUCAUCAUCCUCAGAAGGGAUCCAAAGACUGUGCUGCUUCACCAGGUUCCAUAUAUAGAAAUAUAGGAAGAAGAGCGUUAAGAAUACAUGAAGAAUAAGCUUUGUGGACACAAGUCUCCUGACUUUUCUGAGCAAAGUUCAGUGCCAACAGGCACUCUGCUAGCCCUCCUGAAAACACAGACCAUGAGCCCUACGAGGGAAGGGCAACUUCAGCCUGCUGCCCUAACAGCCUCCACUGAGGUCACCUCUGCCCAACAGUCUAAUGGGCACCUGCUCUGAUCUCUUGAUGGCUCUCAGAACCUCAUGGCUGUGGACAGCUGCCCUGAACUCCAGCCUCCUGUGAUCCUUGCUGUCAGGAAUGCCAGGCUGUUGAACAGGGUCUGCUUAUCCAGGAAGUGGUGCCUAGCACUGACCCUGGGUUCUGGCCAACCCUUAACUAAAUUCCGCUAGAGCACUUACUCAACGAAGACUGCAGGCAACUCCAGCAUCACUACCAGCCUCAGUAUCCUCGUGUCUACAAAGGGGAGAAUCAGAGAAAGUGAUGUUGGAAAGAUGCCGUGAGGACGUGACAGGGUGGCGCACGAGCCGUUCUCUAUAAAUGUUAGUAUUCAUCGAUUUGCUGUGGUCCACCAUUUUGCACAAUAAAGAUGUGUGUGUGUG
This is a long non-coding RNA of Alexandromys fortis (reed vole), 875 nucleotides long. RefSeq lists it as uncharacterized. The transcript is spliced from 4 exons. Lineage: Eukaryota; Metazoa; Chordata; Mammalia; Rodentia; Cricetidae. The record is from RefSeq and is a predicted model, not a curated record.